RNAcentral lists this ribosomal RNA (253 nucleotides) under uncultured bacterium. RNAcentral's name for it is "partial 16S ribosomal RNA". It matches the Rfam family "Bacterial small subunit ribosomal RNA", at positions 524 to 776 of the family's 1533-position model. The record is from RNAcentral.
CACGGGGGGAGCAAGCGUUGUUCGGAUUCAUUGGGCGUAAAGCGCGUGUAGGCGGUCCGGUAAGUCCGCUGUGAAAGUCGGGGGCUCAACCCUCGGAUGCCGGUGGAUACUGUCGGGCUUGAGUACGGAAGAGGCGAGUGGAAUUCCUGGUGUAGCGGUGAAAUGCGCAGAUAUCAGGAGGAACACCAAUUGCGAAGGCAGCUCGCUGGGACGUUACUGACGCUGAGACGCGAAAGCGUGGGGAGCAAACAGG